This 475-nucleotide ribosomal RNA is filed under the name uncultured bacterium. RNAcentral's name for it is "bacterial SSU rRNA". It matches the Rfam family "Bacterial small subunit ribosomal RNA", at positions 917 to 1382 of the family's 1533-position model. The record is from RNAcentral.
GGGCUCACACAAGCGGUGGAGCAUGUGGAUUAAUUCGAAGCAACGCGCAGAACCUUACCUGGGUUUGACAUGCUUGGAUGCCUUGCUGGAAACAGUGGAGGCUACCCUUCGGGGUGAAACUUGCACAGGUGCUGCAUGGCUGUCGUCAGCUCGUGUCGUGAGAUGUCGGGUUAAGUCCUCUAACGAGCGAAACCCUUGCCGUUAGUUACCAGCGGGUCAUGCCGGGAACUCUAACGGGACUGCCGGUGUUAAACCGGAGGAAGGUGGGGAUGACGUCAAGUCAUCAUGGCCUUUAUGCCCAGGGCAUCACACGUGCUACAAUGACCGGGACAAAGCGACGCAAGACCGCGAGGUGGAGCCAAUCGCAAAAACCCGGCCCCAGUUCGGAUUGCAGGCUGGCAACUCGCCUGCAUGAAGUUGGAAUCGCUAGUAAUCGCGAAUCAGCUAUGUCGCGGUGAAUGUGUUCCUGAGCCUU